RNAcentral lists this ribosomal RNA (497 nucleotides) under uncultured bacterium. RNAcentral describes it as "partial 16S ribosomal RNA". It matches the Rfam family "Bacterial small subunit ribosomal RNA", at positions 28 to 507 of the family's 1533-position model. The record is from RNAcentral.
GAUGAACGCUGGCGGCGUGCCUAAUACAUGCAAGUCGAGCGAACAGACGAGGAGCUUGCUCCUCUGACGUUAGCGGCGGACGGGUGAGUAACACGUGGAUAACCUACCUAUAAGACUGGGAUAACUUCGGGAAACCGGAGCUAAUACCGGAUAAUAUAUUGAACCGCAUGGUUCAAUAGUGAAAGACGGUUUUGCUGUCACUUAUAGAUGGAUCCGCGCCGCAUUAGCUAGUUGGUAAGGUAACGGCUUACCAAGGCAACGAUGCGUAGCCGACCUGAGAGGGUGAUCGGCCACACUGGAACUGAGACACGGUCCAGACUCCUACGGGAGGCAGCAGUAGGGAAUCUUCCGCAAUGGGCGAAAGCUUGACGGAGCAACGCCGCGUGAGUGAUGAAGGUCUUCGGAUCGUAAAACUCUGUUAUUAGGGAAGAACAAAUGUGUAAGUAACUAUACACGUCCUGACGGUACCUAAUCAGAAAGCCACGGCUAACUACGUG